UCAAUCUACGGAUUAUUUUUAGUCAGAAUUAUUUUCUUUUAGUUUGCUAGGCAGUUUUCUUACUUUGUAAAAGUAAUAGUAAUCCACAUCGGGGACUAUUGCGAUUUAUUAUUUACGCAUUUGAAUUCAAUUGUAACGGUUACUCAUCGCCAAAGCCUGCCGACAUUAUUUUAAUCGAAGAAUCAAGAUUCAGUUCCAAUUCUCA
RNAcentral lists this long non-coding RNA (205 nucleotides) under Lathyrus oleraceus (garden pea). RNAcentral describes it as "Pisum sativum (pea) long non-coding RNA (PSAT_LNC023088)". Lineage: Eukaryota; Viridiplantae; Streptophyta; Magnoliopsida; Fabales; Fabaceae. The record is from RNAcentral.